This is a small nuclear RNA of Pteronotus mesoamericanus, 159 nucleotides long. RefSeq annotates it as U1 spliceosomal RNA. The record is from RefSeq and is a predicted model, not a curated record. NCBI's taxonomy places the organism in Eukaryota, Metazoa, Chordata, Mammalia, Chiroptera, Mormoopidae. The transcript has a single exon.
CAACUCACCUGGCCGGGGAGAUGCCAGGCUCACGAUGGUGGUUUUCCCAGGGCGAGGCUUAUCCGUUGCUCUCUGGGUGUACUGACCCCGCGACUUCCCCAAGUGUGGGAAACCGCUGCAUGAUUUGUGGCAGUGGGAGACUGUGUUCAUGCCCUCCCC